GACGAACGCUGGCGGCGUGCCUAAUACAUGCAAGUCGAGCGAACAGACCAGAGUGCUUGCCCUCCCUGACGUUAGCGGCGGACGGGCGAGUAACACGUGGGUAACCUACCUAUAAGACUGGGAUUACUUCGGGAAACUGGCGCUAAUCCCGGAUAAUAUUUAGCUUCGCAUGACGCACUAGGGAUAGACGGUUUUGCUGUCAAUUAUCGUUGGAACCGCGUUGUAUUAGCCAGUUGGUGAAGGAAGUGCUGACGAAGGCAAGGAUAGAUAGCCGACAUGAGGGCGUGGUCGGCCAGACGGGCAGAGAGGCUGGGCCCAGACUCCGGCGGGAGGCAACAGUAGGGAAUCUUCCGCGAGGGACGAAAGGCUGACAGAGCAAAGCCGGGUGAGUGAAGAAGGUGUUCGGAUCGGAAAACUCUGUUGGAAGGGAGGAACAAGUACGUUAUUAACUGAACGUACCUUGACGGUACCGGGCCAGAAAGCCACGGCUAACUACGUG
RNAcentral lists this ribosomal RNA (499 nucleotides) under uncultured bacterium. Its description in RNAcentral is "partial 16S ribosomal RNA". It matches the Rfam family "Bacterial small subunit ribosomal RNA", at positions 28 to 507 of the family's 1533-position model. The record is from RNAcentral.